GACCCGCGUCUGAUUAGCUAGUUGGUAAGGUAACGGCUUACCAAGGCGACGAUCAGUAGCCGACCUGAGAGGGUGAUCGGCCACAUUGGAACUGAGACACGGUCCAAACUCCUACGGGAGGCAGCAGUGGGGAAUAUUGCACAAUGGGCGAAAGCCGGAUGCAGCAACGCCGCGUGAGGGAUGAAGGCCUUCGGGUCGUAAAACUCUGUCCUCAAGGAAGAUAAUGACGGUACUUGAGGAGGAAGCCCCGGCUAACUACGUGCCAGCAGCCGCGGUAAUACGUAGGGGGCUAGCGUUAUCCGGAUUUACUGGGCGUAAAGGGUGCGUAGGCGGUCUUUCAAGUCAGGAGUGAAAGGCUACGGCUCAACCGUAGUAAGCUCUUGAAACUGGGAGACUUGAGUGCAGGAGAGGAGAGUGGAAUUCCUAGUGUAGCGGUGAAAUGCGUAGAUAUUAGGAGGAACACCAGUUGCGAAGGCGGCUCUCUGGACUGUAACUGACGCUGAGGCACGAAAGCGUGGGGAGCAAACAGGAUUAGAUACCCUGGUAGUCCACGCUGUAAACGAUGAGUACUAGGUGUCGGGGGUUACCCCC
RNAcentral lists this ribosomal RNA (591 nucleotides) under Clostridioides difficile. Its description in RNAcentral is "bacterial SSU rRNA". It matches the Rfam family "Bacterial small subunit ribosomal RNA", at positions 228 to 841 of the family's 1533-position model. The record is from RNAcentral. Lineage: Bacteria; Bacillati; Bacillota; Clostridia; Peptostreptococcales; Peptostreptococcaceae.